UGGGUGGAGGCGUUCAUCUCCACGCUCUGGCACCAUCUCAGGAUUGAAUCCUCUCCUCGUUGUCGUCCAGAAGGUGGCUAGGCAGGGGCUCGUGGAUCCGAGGCGAUUUGUGGUUGCUGAUUUGUGCGUUCAGAGCUGGUUAAGCUGAGAAGAAGGGAGGGGCAAAGCCUGCAGGUGAUGGAAUAUAUCAAGAACAGAACUACUGAUGAGCUUUGAGAUCACAUGGGAAGUUUGAACCAGCGUACUUGUCCGAGACCAGUUCAAGACGUACAUACAAAUACGGAUACCAUCCUUUUCCUUGGGCUGGAGUAACAUGAUUUAUCUCAUCUAAGGUUGGUAAAGAUGGUUCAAAGUCCACACGCAAAUCUCACACAUCCGAGACAUGUUGAAUUCAGAGCUCCAGGCAGAUUCAAAGGCUAUUCUAACAAGUAGGAUUAAGUACCUUCACUAAAUCUGAUAAUCCCA
Molecule: long non-coding RNA, 465 nt
Organism: Lolium rigidum
Lineage: Eukaryota; Viridiplantae; Streptophyta; Magnoliopsida; Poales; Poaceae
Exons: 3
Source: RefSeq, a predicted model, not a curated record